RNAcentral lists this ribosomal RNA (460 nucleotides) under uncultured bacterium. Its description in RNAcentral is "partial 16S ribosomal RNA". It matches the Rfam family "Bacterial small subunit ribosomal RNA", at positions 338 to 795 of the family's 1533-position model. The record is from RNAcentral.
CCUACGAGGGGCAGCAGUGAGGAAUAUUGGUCAAUGGACGAGAGUCUGAACCAGCCAAGUAGCGUGAAGGAUGACUGCCCUAUGGGUGGUAAACUUCUUUUAUAUGGGAAUAAAAUGUUCCACGUGUGGGAUUUUGUAUGUACCAUAUGAAUAAGGAUCGGCUAACUCCGUGCCAGCAGCCGCGGUAAUACGGAGGAUCCGAGCGUUAUCCGGAUUUAUUGGGUUUAAAGGGAGCGUAGGUGGAUUGUUAAGUCAGUUGUGAAAGUUUGUGGCUCAACCGUAAAAUUGCAGUUGAAACUGGCAGUCUUGAGUACAGUAGAGGUGGGCGGAAUUCGUGGUGUAGCGGUGAAAUGCUUAGAUAUCACGAAGAACUCCGAUGGCGAAGGCAGCUCACUGGACUGCAACUGACACUGAGGCUCGAAAGUGUGGGUAUCAAACAGGAUUAGAUACCCGAGUAGUC